UGGCUCAGUUGGUAGAGCAUGGCGCUUGCCAUGCCAGAGUUGUGGGUUCCAUUCUCAC
Molecule: non-coding RNA, 58 nt
Organism: Salmo salar (Atlantic salmon)
Lineage: Eukaryota; Metazoa; Chordata; Actinopteri; Salmoniformes; Salmonidae
Source: Rfam